GAAAGCAUUCUCGGCCACUAGGACUAGUCAGGAUGUGUAUUACAUGUGGCUGGCUUUUGGGGUUGGGAGUAAUAACUAUUGUAAUUAGUUCUAUCAAAACAGCCCACUAUGUACUGUGCUGUAAAAGUGCAUAUAAAAUACCCUAUUGACAUCUGAGUGAAGUGUUGGACUGCAUUAAUGGGGAGAAAACAAAUGUCCAGUGUGCCAAAGGGUCACGUGUGUUCCUGAAGGGACUGAGGCGACGCAGUCGGAGGUCCCUGCGGUGGCGGUCAGCGGGAGGUGUCAAGACCAACCAGCUCCUCGUCCAGGAAAGGGGAAUUCUUCAGACCGUUCUUCAAAGGUUCAAUAAAGUCACGAUGGAAGAGCAGAUGGCUGUGCAGUUGCCAUGGUGGAGAGACCCAGAGUAUGAUGACCGAACAGUUGAUCUACAACGAUGGCCUUCUCCCUAUCCACCCUGAGGAUCCCUGGCUACACCUACAAUCCAAUCUACCCCAGACAUAACCACUC
Gadus macrocephalus (Pacific cod) is the source of this 507-nucleotide long non-coding RNA. RefSeq lists it as uncharacterized. Lineage: Eukaryota; Metazoa; Chordata; Actinopteri; Gadiformes; Gadidae. The record is from RefSeq and is a predicted model, not a curated record. The transcript is spliced from 3 exons.